This 232-nucleotide ribosomal RNA is filed under the name uncultured bacterium. RNAcentral describes it as "partial 16S ribosomal RNA". It matches the Rfam family "Bacterial small subunit ribosomal RNA", at positions 104 to 334 of the family's 1533-position model. The record is from RNAcentral.
CGGGGUGAGUAACGCGUGGGUAACCUGCCUCAUACAGGGGGAUAACAGUUAGAAAUGACUGCUAAUACCGCAUAAGACCACAGCACCGCAUGGUGCAGGGGUAAAAACUCCGGUGGUAUGAGAUGGACCCGCGUUGGAUUAGCUAGUUGGCAGGGCAGCGGCCUACCAAGGCGACGAUCCAUAGCCGGCCUGAGAGGGUGAACGGCCACAUUGGGACUGAGACACGGCCCAG